RNAcentral lists this ribosomal RNA (477 nucleotides) under uncultured organism. RNAcentral's name for it is "partial 16S ribosomal RNA". It matches the Rfam family "Bacterial small subunit ribosomal RNA", at positions 329 to 797 of the family's 1533-position model. The record is from RNAcentral.
ACGUACACUCCUGCGGGAGGCAGCAGUGGGGAAUAUUGCACAAUGGGCGCAAGCCUGAUGCAGCCAUGCCGCGUGUAUGAAGAAGGCCUUCGGGUUGUAAAGUACUUUCAGCGGGGAGGAAGGCGAUAAGGUUAAUAACCUUGUCGAUUGACGUUACCCGCAGAAGAAGCACCGGCUAACUCCGUGCCAGCAGCCGCGGUAAUACGGAGGGUGCAAGCGUUAAUCGGAAUUACUGGGCGUAAAGCGCACGCAGGCGGUCUGUCAAGUCGGAUGUGAAAUCCCCGGGCUCAACCUGGGAACUGCAUUCGAAACUGGCAGGCUAGAGUCUUGUAGAGGGGGGUAGAAUUCCAGGUGUAGCGGUGAAAUGCGUAGAGAUCUGGAGGAAUACCGGUGGCGAAGGCGGCCCCCUGGACAAAGACUGACGCUCAGGUGCGAAAGCGUGGGGAGCAAACAGGAUUAGAAACCCCAGUAGUCCCA